CAUUUACAAAAAGACGUUGACUGUAAAAGCCACAUAUAGAAAGCUUGGUAGACGUUGCAAAAACGCUACCAAAUGCAAAUGAAGUUCAAAACGAUCUGUCUGUUAUCGAGGGUCAAUGGGCUGAUCUUAAACGUGACCUCGUAAACCGGAAGUCUUCUAAUUGAUGGGAUGGUCAACAAAGUUAACGAACUCGGAUAAAUUGUCAAAGGGAGGUUUGUGAUUGGUCAAAGACAUUUCGUCAUCAACUGACGACAAAUGAAAAAGCUAGAUUCCAGAUUGGAAAACUUACGCCACGAGGAAACGGAGAUAAAGAAAGUGAUAGAAGCUCAAGUUAAGCCGAAUGCCAAUAAAGUUGAGAGAUGCAAGCAAAUUGUCGAAGAGUUGACAAAGGAAACCUCGGACGAGUCCAUAGAAAUGAUGAACGAAAAAUCACUGGCCGCUGACUGAGCCUUGAAGGCGCUAAGCAAAAAAUUAGAAACGUACGAAAUAAUAUUGGAAAGAAGCACAAGAAAAGAGUCUGACUUUCGGAAAUAUUGUCGGUCGAGUUAAGCUCCUGGAUUUCCGAUGGGCAUGACAAAGUGAAGUUAUGCAUUCCAGCUCUUGCUGAGGAUGAUUUGCUAAAAAAGCAGGAAGAAUUAUCGAAUUUACUGGAAAAAAGCAGAACACAAAAAAGCAGAGGAUUUGAAAAUUGUCACCGAAUGUGCAGUCGACUGAAAAAAACUUUGUCCAGGGCGAUGCUGAAGUCAUCGAGUCGAAGAAAUGUAAUCUCAGCACUGAUUUGGAUAAACUCAUAGAAUCAAUUUUGAAAGCCGAUCAAUGCAUUGUUGAAUUGCUUCAACGUUUACAUGAGUUUGAAAACCUAUCUGCCGAACUCGGAGAUAAAAUAAGCGAUGGUGAAAAGCAACUCAAGGAACACAAAAUUAUUCCACAUGAAGCAAGAACUGAUCGCCAUGUUGAGGCACUCAAGAUUCUACAAGGAGAACUUGCGUCGCUUGCUGCACAAGUUGUGUAUUUGGAAGACUUUGCUGCCGAACUGAGCAAAGACUCUCCAACCGGGAUGACUAACGCAAGCAGCGCGUGACGGAAACUGCCGAUGACAUCAACAAAGAUUCCGAUCUCUGAAAAUGAGUUUAGAUGCUGAAUGCGGAAAACUUGCUGACACUGUUCAACAGACAGAAAAUGUUCAAG
This is a non-coding RNA of Styela clava, 1188 nucleotides long. The record is from RefSeq and is a predicted model, not a curated record. NCBI's taxonomy places the organism in Eukaryota, Metazoa, Chordata, Ascidiacea, Stolidobranchia, Styelidae.